CGCACCUGUAAACGCACAUCCUUUAGGUAAACAAUGACUUCAUGGAGUAGAGUUCUUCUCUGAGCUCCGCGCAUGUGGACGUUAUUUCCAGUCUUAACCGAUUAUUUUGCUUUGCCUAUCGCCUAAGCAUACUUUAUAGGUACGAUUGAGGGUUUUGACAUCUGCGACAAUGCGUUGCUUCUUUUUUGUGGCUCUGCGCAUCUUCAUUCUGCUACCAGUCCAAGGUUACUUUAAUACAAGUGACACUUGUGACAUUGAUCUCAACGUUGACGAGUACAGAAAUGCAUGGAUACAAUGCAACCAGACAUGUGACGGUGCUUCGCAACUGCCAGAUCACACGCCUUGUUACAUAUUAUGCCAGCAAUCAGGAUAUAUUGCUAAUAAAGAGCCUCCGGAAGUUUGUGAGGUGUGUGGAUCAUGCAAAAAGGGAAAAUGCGUCUUACAGGAUUGGUGUAAAAACAUUGGGCGUUGACGUGCCCGCACGCUGUGAAUAAAUUUUUGUG
Molecule: long non-coding RNA, 503 nt
Organism: Rhipicephalus sanguineus (brown dog tick)
Lineage: Eukaryota; Metazoa; Arthropoda; Arachnida; Ixodida; Ixodidae
Exons: 5
Source: RefSeq, a predicted model, not a curated record